Molecule: long non-coding RNA, 659 nt
Filed under: Homo sapiens (human)
Lineage: Eukaryota; Metazoa; Chordata; Mammalia; Primates; Hominidae
Description: HSALNT0340672
Source: RNAcentral
CAGGGACUUAGAAAAGCUUAGACAUUCAUAGGAAUAAGACCUCCAGCUAUUUAUGGGUUGAUUACAAGCUCAGUAUGAUUCAAUUGAUGAUUAGAUAGUAGACAUCACCUGUUACGAUUGGAGCCCUGUGGCCAAGAGGACGCCUGUGAACUAUUUCACCUGAUUAGGCCACGCUGGGAUUUUUUGCUUGGGUGAGAGGUCGUGCUUCCCCAGGACACGGGCAGCAGCCUGGAGAGAGGAGUCUCAGAGGGUAACCCUGCUCUUCUCAAAUAUGGAAAGCUCCUAUGUGGAAGGGCAGUGAGUGGGAUUUAUCUUUUUCUGGGGAUUCCAGAUGGCAGAAAAUUAGGCCCACACUGCUGAGCGGGAUUUGAGUGUGAGAAUCCAAGUACAGAAGCUGAAUUUGGGAAAAUAGUCUUGCUAAAGAAAGUGGCAGAUUUUCCCAAUUCCACAUUUUGGAAGUAUCAAGAGCUGUUUCAUGAGAUAAGCUGGCGAGAGGAAAUAGACUACUCUGGUAGGAAACUAGAGCAGGUGUACUCAAGGUAACAUUCUCCCUACUUCCUGGUCUACUAGUUCAAGAAAAACGUUUGUUUUGAGUGCCACACGGCGAACCCAUUUUAGAAGUGUUUCUAUUACUAAUAAAACAUUUGCAUAUUUGGAUA